Molecule: ribosomal RNA, 497 nt
Filed under: uncultured bacterium
Lineage: Bacteria
Description: partial 16S ribosomal RNA
Rfam family: Bacterial small subunit ribosomal RNA
Source: RNAcentral
GAUGAACGCUGGCGGCGUGCCUAAUACAUGCAAGUCGAGCGAACGGACGAGAAGCUUGCUUCUCUGAUGUUAGCGGCGGACGGGUGAGUAACACGUGGAUAACCUACCUAUAAGACUGGGAUAACUUCGGGAAACCGGAGCUAAUACCGGAUGAUAUAUUGAACCGCAUGGUUCAAUAGUGAAAGACGGUCUUGCUGUCACUUAUAGAUGGAUCCGCGCUGCAUUAGCUAGUUGGUAAGGUAACGGCUUACCAAGGCAACGAUGCGUAGCCGACCUGAGAGGGUGAUCGGCCACACUGGAACUGAGACACGGUCCAGACUCCUACGGGAGGCAGCAGUAGGGAAUCUUCCGCAAUGGGCGAAAGCCUGACGGAGCAACGCCGCGUGAGUGAUGAAGGUCUUCGGAUCGUAAAACUCUGUUAUUAGGGAAGAACAUAUGUGUAAGUAACUGUGCACAUCUUGACGGUACCUAAUCAGAAAGCCACGGCUAACUACGUG